This is a non-coding RNA of Pelodiscus sinensis (Chinese soft-shelled turtle), 320 nucleotides long. The record is from RefSeq and is a predicted model, not a curated record. Lineage: Eukaryota; Metazoa; Chordata; Testudines; Trionychidae.
CUCACCAUCUUCCAGAACCUCCAAGAAAAUUUUACUAGAGGAAGUAAAGGUCUUCACUGGGACCUGUGGAGUUUUUGCUAAGCACAUGGGCAGCACACAGACUCCCUGCCUAGUGACUGCAGGGAUGGGCCUCCCACUUCUAGGAGCACACUGGAACUAGGGCAGUGAGAAAGGCAAGCUGUCAAGAAGUUAGUCCGAUUCAAGAGAUUACCUCACCCACUUCAUCUUUCUAGUAUCCUGGGAACAACACAGCUACAAUCACUUUAAAUGGUAAGUCCUUUUUCUGGUUUAUUUUCCUAACCACACAACUGCAGGUCUUU